AUGGAACAUUUGCCAGACAUGUUGGAUUCUGAUUCUCUUAUAUUGGAGGAUAAAUAUUUGCGUAUGCAUUGCGCUGCACACAUACUUAAUUUGAUUGUGAAAGAUGGUAUGGAUGUCAUGGAGGAGGGUAUAGAGCGGGUUCGUGAUAGUGUUGGAUUUUGGUCUGUUACUCCAAAGAGGCAUGAGAAAUUUGGAAAAAUGGCACGAACUCUAAACAUUGAAUACAAGACAAGGUUGGCUCUUGAUUGUAAAACAAGAUGGAAUUCGACCUACACAAUGCUAAACAUUGCAUUAGAAUACAUAGAGGUUUUUGAAAAACUAAAGGGUUGUGAGAAAUUAUUUAGUUGCUGUCCAACCAAAGAUGAUUGGAAGGUUGCUAAGGAACUUUGUGAUAGGCUAAAAAAUUUGUAUGAUGUCACAGAGGCAUUUUCUGGCACUAAAUAUGUCACUGCAAAUCUAUUCUUUCCUAAAAUAUGUGGCAUUCAGUUGGCAAUACAGAAAUGGGCUAAUAGUACUAAUGAGAUUGUGCAAAAGAUGUCUGAGGGAAUGAAACUGAAGUUUGACAAAUAUUGGAAAGAUGUACAUGGUCUGAUGUCUGUUGCGACUGUUCUUGACCCAAGGUAUAAGCUUCAUAUGCUGCAAGCUCUUUUUGGUUCUCUUUAUGGAAUGGAAUAUGCAGAUGUGAAAGUUGCUGAAAUAAGGAACUUAAUGGCUGAUUUGUUGGAUAUAUAUCGAGAAGAUGAUGAGGCCACGACUACAUCAAAGGUUGUUAGCAUGGCUGAUGCACAAGUUGCUGGAAUAGAUGAUCCUAACAGUGAUUCUGAGCUAGAGGGAGACCUAAAUCAAUGUAGCUCCCUAGUGGAGGAGUCAGAGAAUAUGCCCUAUCUUAUUCACCCAUCAAGAUGUUCAAAAGGAAGAGGGCGAUUGCUGAUCGUGGAGGAGCACAAGCAAAGUAUUUGGAAAAUGUAG
RNAcentral lists this ribosomal RNA (969 nucleotides) under Triticum aestivum (bread wheat). RNAcentral's name for it is "partial small subunit ribosomal RNA". The record is from RNAcentral. Lineage: Eukaryota; Viridiplantae; Streptophyta; Magnoliopsida; Poales; Poaceae.